CGUACACCAUCCUUAUUAUUCAAUCGGUCACAUAUUUUCCAGUAUCUGUUCCAGUUUAGGCUACUUUAUUGAGGUAAACACAUUUAAUCCAAAGAUGUGAAAAGAGUACACUGUAAACGAUUUCAGUUGUUUUCACAGUAUUAUACUGUGUUCUCAACAGUUCCUUACUGUAGAAUCUGAGUACAGCAUAUUACUGUAGAUUUUGUCGUUUUCACAGCUUGUUACUGUAUUCUUAACAGUUUCCAACUGUAUAAGCUGUGUACAGUAUGUUACUGUAGAUUUUCAAUGCAUUCUGGGAAAAUAUUAGCCUACUGUAUAUCUAAAUACAGUAGGUUACUAAAUGACCGCGAAAAACAACCACACACCUCCUCACGCAUGACAGACUCAUCAUGAUGAAAGCCCACAACAAUAUGGUAGGUUAACUUUUCUUUUUUUCUCACUCUAUGUUUUAUUCUGAUGUUAGAUAUAAAGCUACGUUUUAGUUAAUUCAUUUUUAGUUAAAUACAUUUCCAUAAAAAUACAUGAGUAAGCGUUCAUUUUCUGGCAUUUUCCUCCUGCAGCGUGGUGAAGAUUAAAGUCCGAGGACGGAGUAGCCUACAUGAAAUUGGUAGGUGGGUAUACUUUAAAACACAUGUAAUUGUCUUAUCUGUUUUAUACAAGAGCCGUUGUGAAGACAAAAAGCCUAGGCCUAUUACCUGAAAUUGGUAGGUCAGUUUUAAAAUGCAUGUAAUCGCCUUUUUUGUUUUGUACCAAUAUUGUUUUAGUUUAUAAAUAUCCGUAAGAACAUCGAAGCGGGUGCUCAUUUCCCUGUUAAGCCGCACUAUCUUUCCUCCCGCAGCGGCGCUGGCAGAGACCGGCUGAACUAACGUGAGACAGGCGGGAAGAGUCGUUGUGAAGACGAAAAGCAUUCGUGAAAAUGCGGCGCUGGCAGAGACCGGCUGAAUUAACGUGAGACAGGCGGGAAGAGUCGUUGUGAAGACGAAAAGCAUUCGUGAAAAUGCAGCGCUGGCAGACGGGCUGAACCAUCGUGAGACGGGGGGAAGAGUCGUCGCAAUAAAGAAGACCCUUUUCUUUAUGGCACGUAGUUUUAAGAUGUAAGAUGAUAUGUAUUCACUGGUUAUUGUUGUAUACUGCUACUAAUUAAGUACUUUAACUCUUCAAACUUUAUUUUUAUAUUUCCAACAUUUAUUUUCCACUGGCACAAUGUGUUAAUGUGAUUUUAGUGGCAUGCAAUUUAAUUGUAUUUUGUUAAUUGAUGAAAUUAAUAUGCAGGUAAAUUUCUGUAUUGAAGUUCAGAAAUGUAAAAGAUGAAACCUAAAUAAAGUUGAUCUGAAGCAA
Long non-coding RNA from Megalobrama amblycephala (Wuchang bream), 1338 nucleotides. RefSeq lists it as uncharacterized. The record is from RefSeq and is a predicted model, not a curated record. NCBI's taxonomy places the organism in Eukaryota, Metazoa, Chordata, Actinopteri, Cypriniformes, Xenocyprididae. The transcript has 3 exons.